Molecule: non-coding RNA, 77 nt
Filed under: Cellulomonas gilvus
Lineage: Bacteria; Bacillati; Actinomycetota; Actinomycetes; Micrococcales; Cellulomonadaceae
Also listed under: 1 other name
Description: c-di-GMP sequence
Rfam family: c-di-GMP-I-GGC riboswitch aptamer
Source: RNAcentral
AGCGACAACGGCAAACCCUCCGCAAGGAGGGGACGCAAAGCCAACGGGACCCACGCAGGUCAGCCGAGCUACCGAAC